This 315-nucleotide unclassified non-coding RNA is filed under the name Hevea brasiliensis (rubber tree). The record is from RNAcentral. Lineage: Eukaryota; Viridiplantae; Streptophyta; Magnoliopsida; Malpighiales; Euphorbiaceae.
GAAAAAUACUUGGAGCAUGAAGGGCCAAAAAUCUAAAGAUUUUUUUUUUUAAAAGAAAAAAAUGAAAAUUCAAAGCAAUUUACUAUUUUUUAUCCAAUAGAAAAUUAUAAGAAUUUUUUUUUUCCAUACUUAAGAUUUAUUCUUCAUUCUUGUUUAUGUGAUGUUGCAUGUAUUUUGUUUGUUUUAUUGAGUGACUUCUUUCACAUAAAGGAUCAAGUGGUGUUUAAAAUAUUUUUGGGAUCAUAAAGAACAAGGAUAAAUUUCACAUGUUAUCUCUGAAUUUAAAGUGUUAUGAUAACAACAUUACUAAACUUU